GCCUGGCCCUAAAUCUUGAUGUUCCACCCUACCUGAACAUCCGCCCGAGAACUACGAGCACAAACGCUUAAAACUCUAAGGACUUGGCGGUGCCCCAAACCCACCUAGAGGAGCCUGUUCUGUAAUCGAUGAUCCACGAUAUUACCUGACCAUUUCUUGCUCAAAACAGCCUAUAUACCGCCGUCGCCAGCUCACCUCCCCUGACAGCCCAACAGUGAGCGCAAUAGCCCCCUCCCGCUAGUACGACAGGUCAAGGUAUAGCCUAUGGAAUGGAAGCAAUGGGCUACAUUUUCUAGACUAGAACAUCACGGCAAAGGGAUAUGAAACUGUCCCUGGAAGGAGGAUUUAGCAGUAAAGUGGGACAAUCGAGCCCUCUUUAAGCCGGCCCUGGGGCACGU
Molecule: ribosomal RNA, 398 nt
Filed under: Copsychus albospecularis
Lineage: Eukaryota; Metazoa; Chordata; Aves; Passeriformes; Muscicapidae
Description: partial 12S ribosomal RNA
Rfam family: Bacterial small subunit ribosomal RNA
Source: RNAcentral